Molecule: long non-coding RNA, 311 nt
Filed under: Amborella trichopoda
Lineage: Eukaryota; Viridiplantae; Streptophyta; Magnoliopsida; Amborellales; Amborellaceae
Description: long non-coding RNA (ATRI_LNC002522)
Source: RNAcentral
UGCAACGUUUCCUUAAUAAACAUUCACUCUGCAGUUUCGAGCAAAGUGGCCAGGCUUGCCACACCUGUAACACGACCAACUUCGUGUUCCAUCUUUCGACUUCUCUUGACUUCUUCUCCUGUCUCCAUUGUCUUCUUCUUUCUUCCAAUUCUUGGGCUUUUUCUUUUGAUCAUUAAUGUUGGGCUUCUUCUUCCCUUUUCCCAAGAAUAGAGCUUCUUCGCUUUCCUUAAUGGUGACCCUGGCCAUCUGCUUUGCCAAAGUCUCUUGAUUAAUCGAGAUAUUUUCCAACUCCAGCAAUGUGGGUUGUGUCG